This 904-nucleotide ribosomal RNA is filed under the name uncultured bacterium. RNAcentral's name for it is "bacterial SSU rRNA". It matches the Rfam family "Bacterial small subunit ribosomal RNA", at positions 8 to 916 of the family's 1533-position model. The record is from RNAcentral.
AGAGUUUGAUCAUGGCUCAGGAUGAACGCUAGCGGCAGGCUUAACACAUGCAAGUCGAGGGGUAGGGGCCUUUCGGGCCUUGAGACCGGCGCACGGGUGCGUAACGCGUAUGCAAUCUGCCUUUCCACAGAGGGAUAGCCCAGAGAAAUUUGGAUUAAUACCUCAUAGCAUCAUGACCCGGCAUCGGGAUAUGAUUAAAGUCACAACGGUGGAAGAUGAGCAUGCGUCCCAUUAGCUAGUUGGUAAGGUAACGGCUUACCAAGGCUACGAUGGGUAGGGGUCCUGAGAGGGAGAUCCCCCACACUGGUACUGAGACACGGACCAGACUCCUACGGGAGGCAGCAGUGAGGAAUAUUGGUCAAUGGGCGCAAGCCUGAACCAGCCAUGCCGCGUGCAGGAUGACGGUCCUAUGGAUUGUAAACUGCUUUUGUACGGGAAGAAACCCUCCUACGUGUAGGAGCUUGACGGUACCGUAAGAAUAAGGAUCGGCUAACUCCGUGCCAGCAGCCGCGGUAAUACGGAGGAUCCAAGCGUUAUCCGGAAUCAUUGGGUUUAAAGGGUCUGUAGGCGGUCUUGUAAGUCAGUGGUGAAAGCCCAUCGCUCAACGGUGGAACGGCCAUUGAUACUGCUGGACUUGAAUUAUUGGGAAGCAACUAGAAUAUGUAGUGUAGCGGUGAAAUGCUUAGAGAUUACAUGGAAUACCAAUUGCGAAGGCAGGUUGCUACCAAUGGAUUGACGCUGAUGGACGAAAGCGUGGGUAGCGAACAGGAUUAGAUACCCUGGUAGUCCACGCCGUAAACGAUGGAUACUAGCUGUUGGGCGCAAGUUCAGUGGCUAAGCGAAAGUGAUAAGUAUCCCACCUGGGGAGUACGAACGCAAGUUUGAAACUCAAAGGAAUUGACGG